GAUGAACGCUGGCGGCGUGCCUAAUACAUGCAAGUCGAGCGAACGGACGAGAAGCUUGCUUCCCUGAUGUUAGCGGCGGACGGGUGAGUAACACGUGGAUAACCUACUUAUAAGACUGGGAUAACUUCGGGAAACCGGAGCUAAUACCGGAUAAUAUUUUGUACCGCUUGGUUCAAAAGUGAAAGACGGUCUUGCUGUUACUAUUAGAUGGAUUCGCGCUGCAUUAGCUAGUUGGUAAGGUAACGGCUUACCAAGGAAACGAUGCAUAGCCGACCUGAGAGGAUGAUCGGCCACACUGGAACUGAGACACGGUCCAGACUCCUACGGGAGGCAGCAGUAGGGAAUCUUGCGCAAUGGGCGAAAGCCUGACGGAGCAACGCCGCGUGAGUGAUGAAGGUCUUCGGAUCGUAAAGCUCUGUUAUUAGGGAAGAACAUAUGUAUAAGUAACUGUGCACAUCUUGACGGUACCUAAUCAGAAAGCCACGGCUAACUACGUG
This 497-nucleotide ribosomal RNA is filed under the name uncultured bacterium. Its description in RNAcentral is "partial 16S ribosomal RNA". It matches the Rfam family "Bacterial small subunit ribosomal RNA", at positions 28 to 507 of the family's 1533-position model. The record is from RNAcentral.